UCUCGCUUCUGCAUGAAAUCUUUUGCUGAUAUUCGUUGUUUUUUUCGAACAUCGACUGGAUACCAAUAAAUCAUUGGGAUGGUAAUAUAUUCAGAUAAAAUAGGCUUUUGGCAUAUUUUCAACACUUUUUUGACCUCCUCGGUACUACGCAGGUGUGGCUUACCAACAGCACAAGCCUGUACGGCAGUGACUGGAGACGUACCUAGCUUCAGCUAAUUAGCAGCAAGAUGCUGCACUUCUCCACGGACGACUAAGAAAAACCUCUACAGAAAAUUGCAGUGCUGGAAACCAAAAUCCACCGGUUACAAGUGAUCUGGGAAAUUAAUAGACAACGAGGGAACGACAGUACUUUAACAUGUACUCAAAACAGUGGUAUCAUCCAGAGGGCCUUUUCAGUCUUUUUCUUAGUAGGACACAGCUAUGGACAGCUGCAAAAGGGAGAGAUAGCACAAAACCUCCACAACAACCAGGUGUACAGCAGAACCAAUCUCUCUGAUGUUAUAACAGCGCCGCUAGAGCUUGCAACAACAACAACAACAAGUUUUGUUUGCUUGAGCGGCAGAGACACAGAGUCUGCCAGCUAACUUUAACCAGAGCCCUUUAAAGAGAGAGUCGCGUCAUCUCCGUUCACUCCAAUGGACCAGUUUUUCACAGCAAUGGCGGAUCAUGGAGCGUGUGAAUAGUUCCCGGAAGUUAGCAUCAAAUGCUAGGAUCAAGUGCUAGCAUCGCAGCAGAACUGCAAUAGAAAAUGCUUUUGGGAAGCACAAGUAUCACAGGGGGUUCAGUGGAGCCUGAAGAUUAUCUGCAGUGAUGUUUUUAAUAAACCAAACAUUAAGCCAGUGA
Molecule: long non-coding RNA, 843 nt
Organism: Micropterus salmoides (largemouth bass)
Lineage: Eukaryota; Metazoa; Chordata; Actinopteri; Centrarchiformes; Centrarchidae
Exons: 2
Source: RefSeq, a predicted model, not a curated record